RNAcentral lists this ribosomal RNA (253 nucleotides) under uncultured bacterium. RNAcentral's name for it is "partial 16S ribosomal RNA". It matches the Rfam family "Bacterial small subunit ribosomal RNA", at positions 524 to 776 of the family's 1533-position model. The record is from RNAcentral.
UACGUAGGGCGCGAGCGUUGUCCGGAAUUAUUGGGCGUAAAGCGCACGUAGGCGGCGCUGCAAGUCCCAUGUGAAAGCCCACGGCUUAACCGUGGAAGUGCAUGGGAAACUGCAGUGCUUGAGUACUUAAGAGGAUCGCGGAAUUCCCGGUGUAGAGGUGAAAUUCGUAGAUAUCGGGAGGAACACCAGUGGCGAAGGCGGCGAUCUGGGAAGAUACUGACGCUGAGGUGCGAAAGCGUGGGGAGCAAACAGG